RNAcentral lists this ribosomal RNA (433 nucleotides) under uncultured bacterium. RNAcentral's name for it is "partial 16S ribosomal RNA". It matches the Rfam family "Bacterial small subunit ribosomal RNA", at positions 29 to 507 of the family's 1533-position model. The record is from RNAcentral.
AACGAACGCUGGCGGCAUGCCUAACACAUGCAAGUCGAACGAGACCUCCGGGUCUAGUGGCGCAUGGGUGCGUAACGCGUGGGAACCUGCCCUUAGGUUCGGAAUAACUCCCCGAAAGGGGUGCUAAUACCGGAUAAUGUCUUCGGACCAAAGAUUUAUCGCCCUUGGAUGGGCCCGCGUUGGAUUAGCUAGUUGGUAGGGUAAAAGCCUACCAAGGCGACGAUCCAUAGCUGGUCUGAGAGGAUGGUCAGCCACACUGGGACUGGGACACGGCCCAGACUCCUACGGGAGGGAGCAGUGGGGGAUAUUGGACAAUGGGCGGAAGGCUGAUCCAGCAAUGCCGCGUGAGUGAUGAAGGCCUUAGGGUUGUAAAGCUCUUUUACCCGGGAUGAUAAUGACGGUACCGGGAGAAUAAGCUCCGGCUAACUCCGUG